Long non-coding RNA from Orussus abietinus, 1102 nucleotides. RefSeq lists it as uncharacterized. Lineage: Eukaryota; Metazoa; Arthropoda; Insecta; Hymenoptera; Orussidae. The record is from RefSeq and is a predicted model, not a curated record. The transcript is spliced from 4 exons.
CGCCAUUUCGUGCGACCCCCUGGGGCUUGAAGGAAGACGAAACGCGCUCGCCGGGAGGGAAGCCUUUCGGUGCUUUACGAGCCAAAUCCACGCAAGCCGUGUACGAGCUUUUUCCACGAAGUAUCCGCUCGAUAAGGAAGUCAUUUAUGGGACUAUCGUGUACCUUCCGAUAACGCGGGCGAAAGCAAUCGCAGACUGUUGCCUCGGCGAAGUCCUGUUCCGGUAGCAAGGUCCUCCUCGUUGCUCGACCCCAUGCCUGCCCAGCUGCUCUUCAAAAUACCUCCCCUCUCUGUUAAUGUUGGAUUACAACUAAAAAAAGACCUAGGCUAAAUUAGACCAAAGGGACGGACCCAAGGUGGAACUUCUCCUCUCCCUCUUGAUUUUUCUCACCGGAACUGGGGCUCUUAUCAAUGUAAAUAAAUAUUUAUCCUGGCGCAGGGGACCUUUAUGGAACGGAAGUCGCUCGGCAGUCCAGCCCGUCACGACACUAACCGGGAGUUCCGCGAUUAAGUUAACGCCGUCUACGUCCGAGGAUGACUAUCGACUGCUUGCGUUGCUUAACGUAGAGGACCGCGCGGAUCGACCAAUGGAAAUGAUAGAAAAAUGUCACGUGUGAGUGUCGGCUAAUAUGUUAUGAAGUAAUCUGUCGUCAAUGUCACCGGCGAGUUGCCUUCUCGCUAAGACCAGGGAGCAUAUUUCAUAACAGCGGAAAUCCCUCCCGGAAGCACCGAUUUCUACCUUCGGCGAUCGCUUAAAUCUAUCAUUCUCCUGCACCACCUCGUGACAUCCUCUAGACAUUCUGAAUUUCAGGCACAAAUUCUAAUCGGUUCCUACCGACCGAUUUCUACGAGAGAACCGCGCGUACUUAUUAACUUAAUUUAAUAUUUCGAGCUAUCAAACAUAUGGUAAAUAAGGAGAUCGAUUUGCGAAAAAUUCAGGAAUUUCGGAAAGAGAAACCCCGAAGAGUGACUCACUCUUCCUAUGCGUCGAACUCCCACUCGCGAUGGUUCUGGAGAUCUUCAGGCUUUAAAAUAGUCUCGGAUCGAAUAAAAGAAGAGAGCCCCUCGGCGACUGUUUAUGCCGGCUUAGGUACCAUUGAAAA